This 542-nucleotide long non-coding RNA is filed under the name Citrus sinensis (sweet orange). RNAcentral's name for it is "long non-coding RNA (CSIN_LNC005620)". The record is from RNAcentral. Lineage: Eukaryota; Viridiplantae; Streptophyta; Magnoliopsida; Sapindales; Rutaceae.
AGCACUCCCUCGAUCCUGUUCUUUCACUUCCUUGCAGUGGCUUUGGCAUGAAAAAACUUUGUGUUGCGGUCUCCUUCUAGUAGCCAAUCAGCUCUAGACCUUUGCUUCCAAUACACUUCUUCAUCAAGCAACAUGUUAUCAAUUUGCUUCUCCAGCCUUUUGAUUUUUCCUCCACUCAUAUAAUGUUCAAAGUUGUGCUUGACACUUUUUAGCUCGUUGAUUAGCUCUUUCACUUUUUUUUCUCUGCCGCCAAAUUCCGUUAUACUCCAUAGCUUAAGCUCUGCCAAAGAUCUCUUUGCCACCUUUUUGAACUGCUCUGAGGUAAUUGUUCCAUCCCACUUGCUUUGUUCCAGCCACUCUCGCCUCACAAUCUCCUGGCACUUUCAUAUGGGCUCCACAUAUCUUCAUAGUGUAUUCUCGGGAAAGUCCUUUUGUUGUAGCUCGCUCCUCUUACUUUUUUUGCUACCUCCAUAACAAUGGGAUAGUGAUCGGAGCUCCAAGUUUCUAAGUGCACAGCUGGAAAUUCUUGAAAAAUAUUUCCC